CCUACGGGUGGCAGCAGUGAGGAAUAUUGGUCAAUGGGCGCUUGCCUGAACCAGCCAAGUAGCGUGAAGGAUGACUGCCCUAUGGGUUGUAAACUUCUUUUAUAUGGGAAUAAAGUGCAGUAUGUAUACUGCUUUGCAUGUACCUUAUGAAUAAGGAUCGGCUAACUCCGUGCCAGCAGCCGCGGUAAUACGGAGGAUCCGAGCGUUAUCCGGAUGUAUUGGGUUUAAAGGGAGCGUAGGCGGGUUGUUAAGUCAGUUGUGAAAGUUUGCGGCUCAACCGUAAAAUUGCAGUUGAUACGGGCCUCCUUGAGUACAGUAGAGGUAGGGUGAAUUCGUGGUGUAGCGGGUAAAGGCUUAGAUAUCACGAAGAACUCCGAUUGCGAGGGCAGCCUGCUGGACUGUAUCUGACGCGGAGGCUAGAAAGUGUGGGUAUCAAACAGGAUGAGAGACCCUAGUAGUC
This 460-nucleotide ribosomal RNA is filed under the name uncultured bacterium. RNAcentral's name for it is "partial 16S ribosomal RNA". It matches the Rfam family "Bacterial small subunit ribosomal RNA", at positions 338 to 795 of the family's 1533-position model. The record is from RNAcentral.